This 48-nucleotide transfer RNA is filed under the name Iris germanica (flag). RNAcentral describes it as "partial tRNA-Leu". Lineage: Eukaryota; Viridiplantae; Streptophyta; Magnoliopsida; Asparagales; Iridaceae. RNAcentral also lists the same sequence under 46 other names. The record is from RNAcentral.
UGGGGAUAGAGGGACUUGAACCCUCACGAUUUCUAAAGUCGACGGAUU